AAUUGAAUUUAGUAUGUAUCUAGACACAACUAUAUAUGUAUACACAUAACAAAAUCAAUAUAUGUAGAAAUAUCAAAACAUUUUAUAAUUUAGAAUAGAGAGAGACAUAAGUUACACAAUACAACUUAUGUACAUAAGUUGCACAACUAAUACACUAGUGCAUAUAGAAAGUUAUGACAUUUAUUAUACAUAAACAGAAGUUAUACGAUACAACUUAGCAGAAUAGGUUAGCAGCAUAAUUUAGCAGAAUAAGUUAGCAACAUAACUUAUAUGUUAUAAGUUUAUAUACAUAAAUUGUUAUUAGAAAAAUAAAAAUCCUCGAAACAUAUAGAAGUGGGGUCUAGUUUUGUUCGUCUUGUCACGUUGAACACACCGGUGAAGACGGAAUUAAAAAUAGAUACAUCAUUCAAAAGUUAUAGUAAUUUGAAAUAAAUAUUUUAUUUUUUUCAUGAUGAUGUCAAAAGCAGAGGGAAAGAGAAGUGGUGGGAGAAGGAUGGACGACCGGCAUGCAUUAGCUGUCGGAUUGUUCGCUAGAUUAAAAACUACUGAACGACCGUGGCAAUG
Molecule: long non-coding RNA, 564 nt
Filed under: Sorghum bicolor (sorghum)
Lineage: Eukaryota; Viridiplantae; Streptophyta; Magnoliopsida; Poales; Poaceae
Description: long non-coding RNA (SBIC_LNC014932)
Source: RNAcentral